CCUACGGGUGGCAGCAGUCGAGAAUCAUUCACAAUGGGGGAAACCCUGAUGGUGCGACGCCGCGUGGGGGAAUGAAGGUCUUCGGAUUGUAAACCCCUGUCAUGUGGGAGCAAAUUAAAAAGAUAGUACCACAAGAGGAAGAGACGGCUAACUCUGUGCCAGCAGCCGCGGUAAUACAGAGGUCUCAAGCGAUGUUCGGAAUCACUGGGCGUAAAGGGUGCGUAGGCUGUUUAGUAAGUCGUGUGUGAAAGGCGCGGGCUCAACCCGCGGACGGCACAUGAUCCUGCGAGACUAGAGUAAGGGAGGGGGAACCGGAAUUCUCGGUGUAGCAGUGAAAUGCGUAGAUAUCAGGAGGAACACCGGCGGCGAAGGCGGCCUGCUGGACCGCGACUGACGUUGAGGCUCGAAAGCGUGGGGAGCGAACAGGAUUAGAUACCCUAGUAGUC
This 446-nucleotide ribosomal RNA is filed under the name uncultured bacterium. RNAcentral describes it as "partial 16S ribosomal RNA". It matches the Rfam family "Bacterial small subunit ribosomal RNA", at positions 338 to 795 of the family's 1533-position model. The record is from RNAcentral.